GUAGUCAUAUGCUUGUCUCAAAGAUUAAGCCAUGCAUGUCUAAGUAUAAGCAAUUAUACCGCGAAACUGCGAAUGGCUCAUUAAAUCAGUUAUCGUUUAUUUGAUAGUACCUUACUACUUGGAUAACCGUGGUAAUUCUAGAGCUAAUACAUGCUAAAAAUCCCGACUCACGGAGGGAUGUAUUUAUUAGAUUAAAAACCAACGCCCUUCGGGGCUUCUUGGUGAUUCAUAAUAACUUCGCGAAUCGCAUGGCCUUGUGCCGGCGAUGGUUCAUUCAAAUUUCUGCCCUAUCAACUUUCGAUGGCAGGGUCUUGGCCUGCCAUGGUUACAACGGGUAACGGGGAAU
RNAcentral lists this ribosomal RNA (346 nucleotides) under uncultured fungus. Its description in RNAcentral is "SSU rRNA". It matches the Rfam family "Eukaryotic small subunit ribosomal RNA", at positions 20 to 370 of the family's 1831-position model. The record is from RNAcentral. Lineage: Eukaryota; Fungi.